GAUGAACGCUGGCGGCGUGCCUAAUACAUGCAAGUCGAGCGAAUGGAUUAAGAGCUUGCUCUUAUGAAGUUAGCGGCGGACGGGUGAGUAACACGUGGGUAACCUGCCCAUAAGACUGGGAUAACUCCGGGAAACCGGGGCUAAUACCGGAUAACAUUUUGAACCGCAUGGUUCGAAAUUGAAAGGCGGCUUCGGCUGUCACUUUAGGAUGGACCCGCGUCGCAUUAGCUAGUUGGUGAGGUAACGGCUCACCAAGGCAACGAUGCGUAGCCGACCUGAGAGGGUGAUCGGCCACACUGGGACUGAGACACGGCCCAGACUCCUACGGGAGGCAGCAGUAGGGAAUCUUCCGCAAUGGACGGAAGUCUGACGGAGCAACGCCGCGUGAGUGAUGAAGGCUUUCGGGUCGUAAAACUCUGUUGUUAGGGAAGAACAAGUGCUAGUUGAAUAAGCUGACACCUUGACGGUACCUAACCAGAAAGCCACGGCUAACUACGUGCCAGCCGCCGCCGUAA
RNAcentral lists this ribosomal RNA (515 nucleotides) under uncultured bacterium. RNAcentral describes it as "partial 16S ribosomal RNA". It matches the Rfam family "Bacterial small subunit ribosomal RNA", at positions 28 to 523 of the family's 1533-position model. The record is from RNAcentral.